CGUCGUUUAAAGCUAACGAUGCUUUACUUUCUUCCGCAUAUGUUUUCGCAUAUCAACUCCUCAAACCUUAUCAGAUAUCAACUGAGAGAACUCAGAAGACAGAAUCGAUCAUGAUUAAACUCUCUUUCACUCCUAUUACGAAGAUGGGCGUUUGCCGCAACUCAUUGGAUUCUUGUGAGUCCUUCGAUUCUUCCUAACAGUUGGAUUUUCCCCAAAGCUGGCACACAUGGCUUACACCCUAACGACAGAGGUAGAGAACAAGUUUCAAAUCAAACGAAUUCGUUUUCUCAAGACUCCUAAUGCUCGUAGUGGUCUUAAACACAAUGGAGGAAAAGACUGGGCAAAAGUUUCUGGAGCACAUCGUGUGUGUUCAGUUUUGUUGAAAUUUCAUCGGUCAACAUAACGCCAGAAAGGUGCUUUCUGUGGCUAUAUAUGUUGAAUGAAAAUUAUCAGUUUAUAUGUUGAAUUCUAGGUCAGGAGUAUAAAAAGAAAGAGGUAAGAAGGAAGAUGAGGAUGCUAUAGGUGCAGCAAUCUCACCAAGGUCAUCUUAGAAGGCUAAACAAUUUGAUAUCGGCAUUAUGAUAUGAAAGGUAGUUAAUGCCAACAUGGUUUGACUUAUAUUACUUAUAUAUGAUCUUAAAGAAAUUGUAUUCUACUAGUUUUAUUUCUGCUUAUAGCACCUACUGAUCUUUGCUAAUAUUAAAUUGUAAGAUUCUCUUACUUUUCCUACCGGAAGUGGUCUCCCAUGUGUUGACAUAAGUGAUUAAAUUAAUCUACCUGUUUACUAAAACUCUAAAAGCAUUUCCAACAUAGUGCACCUGUUUUUAACUUUUUUUUUCUUUGUAGAUUUUUAAAAUCUGUUAUCUUUUUAUAACGUUAAUUACAUCUUUUUUUAAUCAAAAUAUCUUUAUAAAUAUAUUGUUUCACAAUUAAAGAAAAACCAAAUUAAAGUUAUGUACUUUUAAUGGGCCCCAUUGGCUCGGGUUAGGCUACAAGGUUGUCUUUCUUAUUAUUUGUUUCCAUUGGUUUCUUAAGCAAAGGUCAGUUUGAAGUAUUCAUAACAAAGCCAUGCAUACUUGUUUGAGUUCUCGUUACAAAAGGUAAUAUUUCAUUUUUUUCUUUAAAUACCUUCGUGUAAUAAAUCUUAUCCUUAUAAGUUAUACACAACCUUACUAACUAAUGACUGAAAUACCCUUGUUGCAGGUUCCAUGAUCUGAAAAUCAUUUUUUCAUAAUAAUGGACAUGUUAAGAGCCCAAAAUAUUUGGGAUCAAAGGAUCUUAACAAAAACAAACUUUGUCCAAAGUCAAAUUUGCAAAGCCUUGUUGGAAUCUUUGCCUUCUCUUCAUGAUAAAUUGUUUGUCGCUGCAAUAGAGUCUGUGGUUAGAAUUUCUUAAAAACAAAGUAUUUUUGAAACUUGAAGAAUUGAAAGAAUCGUAGAAACUCUAGAAUUAUAGAUGUGGUUGUUGUAUAGCAUGUACUUAUCCUUUUUUUUUUCAAAAUGACAAAUGUAAUUAUAGUUAUCAUUUUUAAUAAAAAUUAGCAAUUGAGAUUC
Non-coding RNA from Lactuca sativa (garden lettuce), 1553 nucleotides. NCBI's taxonomy places the organism in Eukaryota, Viridiplantae, Streptophyta, Magnoliopsida, Asterales, Asteraceae. The record is from RefSeq and is a predicted model, not a curated record.